AGGGCAGAGCUCGCCACGGCGGGGUCAGCGGCUAAUGGAGAACGCUGGAUGCCUCUGCAGCGUGCGGAAGGAAGGCGCUCAGGCUGCUCCGCUCCCUCCCACGACCUGUCCCCCCACAGCUGGCAUCUACACGCAGGCACAGACCGGGCACCAAGAUCCACUCCAGCAGGAGACUUUUUGCCCCUUCUCCCCAGCACAGGAAAUAACCGAACCCCUGGGCCCCCAUUCCCGGAGGCACAGCCAAAGACAUGAGGCCGGGUGGUCGUUCACACCUCUGCAGUACAGGCAUGUGAUGCUACCAGCGUGCACACGCACUCUGCUCAGGUGCACACGGCCAUGGAGACCGAGGCCUGAGCACGUCUGCCUGCGUGGUCGACAGCCAAGAAGCCACGAGCUGCGUGCACAGCUGGGGAGGAAUAGCCUGGAGCGCCGCCAGGAUCCCUGCCAGGGAGGAAGGGGCACCAGGCCCCAGCAGAGACACGCGUGGGAGGCCAGAGCCCAGCAGAGUGGGGGAAGCGGUGUCACGCCUGUAACAAACUGGGUGCGGGCGGAGGCCCAUUCCUGGUCUGGG
This 571-nucleotide long non-coding RNA is filed under the name Gopherus agassizii (Agassiz's desert tortoise). Its description in RNAcentral is "lncRNA (ENSGAGG00000004438.1)". The record is from RNAcentral. Lineage: Eukaryota; Metazoa; Chordata; Testudines; Testudinidae.